Molecule: ribosomal RNA, 508 nt
Filed under: uncultured bacterium
Lineage: Bacteria
Description: partial 16S ribosomal RNA
Rfam family: Bacterial small subunit ribosomal RNA
Source: RNAcentral
GAUGAACGCUAGCUACAGGCUUAACACAUGCAAGUCGAGGGGAAACGACAUCGAAAGCUUGCUUUUGAUGGGCGUCGACCGGCGCACGGGUGAGUAACGCGUAUCCAACCUGCCCACCACUUGGGGAUAACCUUGCGAAAGUAAGACUAAUACCCAAUGAUAUCUCUAGAAGACAUCUGAAAGAGAUUAAAGAUUUAUCGGUGAUGGAUGGGGAUGCGUCUGAUUAGCUUGUUGGCGGGGUAACGGCCCACCAAGGCUACGAUCAGUAGGGGUUAUGGGAGGAAGGUCCCCCACAUGGGAACUGAGACACGGUCCAAACUCCUACGGGAGGCAGCAGUGAGGAAUAUUGGUAAAUGGGCGAGAGCCUGAACCAGCCAAGUAGCGUGCAGGAUGACGGCCCUAUGGGUUGUAAACUGCUAUUAUAAGGGAAUAAAGUGAGCCUCGUGAGGCUUUUUGCAUGUACCUUAUGAAUAAGGACCGGCUAAUUCCGUGCCAGCCGCCGCGGUAA